CAAGCUGACCGAUACUGAUGGCUUAGUGGCGAACGAGUUAGUAACAUCUUGGUACGUACCCUCCAGUCGAGCACAACGGGUCGAAAGAUCCGCUAAUUCUCGAUGGUGCAGCGAUGCUAAAGCAGCAAUGCGCUGGGGGAGCGGCCUAGAUCCUAUCAGCUUGUUGGCGGGGUAACGGCCCACCAAGGCCAUGACGGGUAGGGGGUGUGAGAGCACGACCCUCAACGACGAAACUGAGACACGGUUCGUACACCUACGGGUGGCAGCAGUCGAGAAUAUUCGACAAUGGGGGAAACCCUGAUCGAGCGACGCCGCGUGCGGGAAGAAGGCCUUCGGGUCGUAAACCGCUUUUGCGUGGGAAGAAUUUUGACGGUACCACGAGAAUAAGGGGUUGCUAACUCUGUGCCAGCAGCAGCGGUAAUACAGAGACCCCGAGCAUUAUCCGGAAUUACUGGGCGUAAAGCGUGAGUCACCGGUCGCGUUAGUCUGAUGUAAAAUCGUGGGGCCCAACUUCACGUCUGCAUCGGAAACGGCGCGACUCGAGCGGAUGAGAGGAGAGCGGAACGUAUGGUGUAGGGGUGAAAUCCACUGAUAUCAUACGGAACACCAAAAGCGAAGGCAGCUCUCUAGUGUCUUGCUGACGGUCAAUCACGAAAGCGUGGGGAUCAAAAAGGAUUAGAUACCCUUGUAGUCCACGCCCUAAACUAUGCACACUAGCUAUUGGGAGCAUCGACCCUUCCAGUGGCGAAGCUAACGCGUUAAGUGUGUCGCCUGGGAAGUACGAUCGCAAGAUUAAAACUCAAAGAAAUAGGCGGGACUUCGCACAAGCAGUGGAUCAUGUGGUUCAAUUCGACUCUAACCGAGAAACCUCACCAGGGCUUGAAAUCCGAUGGAAAUCCCCGGGAAACCGGGGACCCCGAAAGGCCGUCGGACAGGUGCUGCACGGCUGUCGUCAGCUCGUCUCGUGAGAGGUCUCCUUAAGU
This 983-nucleotide ribosomal RNA is filed under the name uncultured bacterium. RNAcentral's name for it is "bacterial SSU rRNA". It matches the Rfam family "Bacterial small subunit ribosomal RNA", at positions 58 to 1085 of the family's 1533-position model. The record is from RNAcentral.